This 560-nucleotide non-coding RNA is filed under the name Pongo abelii (Sumatran orangutan). The record is from RNAcentral. Lineage: Eukaryota; Metazoa; Chordata; Mammalia; Primates; Hominidae.
AAAUUGAACCCCAGAGCUCAGCUUCCAAGAAGGUUAACAUAAUGGUUUUGCUGCUCAUCGUAACAACACCUCACAUCAUGCCUUCAGAUCACUCCCCAGCAUCAUUCUUCAAAUUCAAACGUGAACCAGAAGUGACAAAUGAUUCUUGUAACACGCUCUUUGACACAAAUCAUUUCUGAUUGCUCGGGACCCCAGACAACCUUGAGCAUGCAGAAUCAAGCUGAGAGGGAGAAGUCUUAGAAAAUGAACAGCUUCAACUUCUUGCCGAUGAGAACCCUCUGCUCACGAGGCAGGAGCAGUAUGUGCUGAUUGCCAAACAGAUCAUUUUUAAAAUGAUGCAGAUCUGUGGGGUAUUGGUCCGUGUGGUGAUGUGUCUCAUCUUGCAAUGUCCUAUGCAGCCUUCAAAGCAUUUUUAGAUCCUGGCAAGGAAACAGACAUUCAUGUGCGUAGGGUUUGCAAGGCCCUCUGCAUAUGAUGUUGCUCUUCAUCCUCCCAGCAAGCUCGGGUUUGCUCUGAGAAAAGCAGGAUUUUGUAGCCCUGGCCCCAAUCUUUGGACUUCU